This 429-nucleotide ribosomal RNA is filed under the name Verrucomicrobiota bacterium. RNAcentral describes it as "Verrucomicrobia bacterium partial 16S ribosomal RNA". It matches the Rfam family "Bacterial small subunit ribosomal RNA", at positions 355 to 776 of the family's 1533-position model. The record is from RNAcentral. Lineage: Bacteria; Pseudomonadati; Verrucomicrobiota.
UAGGGAAUCUUCCGCAAUGGACGAAAGUCUGACGGAGCAACGCCGCGUGAGUGAAGAAGGAUUUCGGUUCGUAAAACUCUGUUGUUAGGGAAGAAAAAAUGUAUAGUAACUAUAUACAAAAGAGACGGUACCUAACCAGAAAGCCACGGCUAACUACGUGCCAGCAGCCGCGGUAAUACGUAGGUGGCAAGCGUUGUCCGGAAUUAUUGGGCGUAAAGCGCGCGCAGGUGGUUUAGAAAGUCUGAUGUGAAAGCCCACGGCUCAACCGUGGAGGGUCAUUGGAAACUAAUAAACUUGAGUGCAGGAGAGAAAAGUGGAAUUCCUAGUGUAGCGGUGAAAUGCGUAGAGAUUAGGAGGAACACCGGUGGCGAAAGCGGCUUUUUGGCCUGCAACUGACACUGAGGCCCGAAAGCGUGGGUAGCAAACAGG